RNAcentral lists this ribosomal RNA (744 nucleotides) under uncultured Alphaproteobacteria bacterium. Its description in RNAcentral is "bacterial SSU rRNA". It matches the Rfam family "Bacterial small subunit ribosomal RNA", at positions 96 to 877 of the family's 1533-position model. Lineage: Bacteria; Pseudomonadati; Pseudomonadota; Alphaproteobacteria. The record is from RNAcentral.
UGGCAGACGGGUGAGUAACAUGUAGGUAUCUUCCCAUUGGUGAGGAAUAACACGAGGAAACUUGUGCUAAUACCUCAUAAGUCUUUACGGAGAAAGCUUUAUGCGCCGAUGGAUGAGCCUGCACUUGAUUAGUUUGUUGGUAGGGUAAUGGCUUACCAAGACUGUGAUCAAUAGCUGAUUUGAGAGGAUGAUCAGCCACAUUGGGACUGAGACACGGCCCAAACUCCUACGGGAGGCAGCAGUAGGGAAUCUUGCACAAUGGGGGGAACCCUGAUGCAGCGAUGCCGCGUGAGUGAAGAAGGCCUUUGGGUUGUAAAGCUCUUUCGUCGGGGAAGAAAAUGACUGUACCCGAAUAAGAAGGUCCGGCUAACUUCGUGCCAGCAGCCGCGGUAAUACGAAGGGACCUAGCGUAGUUCGGAAUUACUGGGCUUAAAGAGUUCGUAGGUGGUUAAAAAAGUUGGUGGUGAAAUCCCAGAGCUUAACUCUGGAACUGCCAUCAAAACUUUUUAGCUAGAGUAUGAUAGAGGAAAGCAGAAUUUCUAGUGUAGAGGUGAAAUUCGUAGAUGUUAGAAAGAAUACCAAUUGCGAAGGCAGCUUUCUGGAUCAUUACUGACACUGAGGAACGAAAGCAUGGGUAGCGAAGAGGAUUAGAUACCCUCGUAGUCCAUGCCGUAAACGAUGUGUGUUAGACGUUGGAAAUUUAUUUUCUGUGUCGCAGCGAAAGCAAUAAACACACCGCCUGGG